UACGAAAGGGGCUAGCGGUGUUCGGAAUUACUGGGCGCAAAGCGCACGUAGGCGGCACUGUUAGUUGGGGGUGAAAUCCCGGAGCUCAACUCCGGAACUGCCUUCAAGACUGCAGAGCUGGAGGAUGCGAGAGGUGAGUGGAAUUCCGAGUGUAGAGGUGAAAUUCGUAGAUAUUCGGAAGAUGACCAGUGGCGAAGGCGGCUCACUGGCGCAUUUCUGACGCUGCGGUGCGAAGGCGUGGGGAGCAAACAGG
This 253-nucleotide ribosomal RNA is filed under the name uncultured bacterium. RNAcentral's name for it is "partial 16S ribosomal RNA". It matches the Rfam family "Bacterial small subunit ribosomal RNA", at positions 524 to 776 of the family's 1533-position model. The record is from RNAcentral.